GAUAUACUCCCUCCGAUCCCAAAUUGUUGUCGAAAUAUUACAUGUAUCUAGACGCUUUUUAAGAAUAGAUACAUCCAUAUUUUUUCAAAUUUAAGUCAAGAAUUUAGGAUCGGAGGGAGUAUAUG
Molecule: non-coding RNA, 125 nt
Organism: Brachypodium distachyon (stiff brome)
Lineage: Eukaryota; Viridiplantae; Streptophyta; Magnoliopsida; Poales; Poaceae
Source: Rfam